AAUCCAUGCAUUGGACAUUUUCACAACAAUUCUUUGAAUAUCUCCCAUGCCUCAUAUAAGUUCUCAUAUUCUAAUUGUUUAAAAUAUGUCAAUUUAUUUUGCAGCUU
Molecule: small nucleolar RNA, 107 nt
Organism: Hibiscus syriacus
Lineage: Eukaryota; Viridiplantae; Streptophyta; Magnoliopsida; Malvales; Malvaceae
Source: RefSeq, a predicted model, not a curated record